Molecule: ribosomal RNA, 280 nt
Filed under: uncultured bacterium
Lineage: Bacteria
Description: partial 16S ribosomal RNA
Rfam family: Bacterial small subunit ribosomal RNA
Source: RNAcentral
CCUACGGGGGGCAGCAGUGGGGAAUAUUGGGCAAUGGGCGCAAGCCUGACCCAGCGACGCCGCGUGAGGGAUGAAGGCCUUCGGGUUGUAAACCUCUUUCAGUAGGGAAGAAGCGAAAGUGACGGUACCUAAAGAAGAAGCACCGGCUAACUAUGUGCCAGCAGCCGCGGUAAUACAUAGGGUGCAAGCGUUGUCCGGAAUUAUUGGGCGUAAAGAGCUCGUAGGUCGUUUGACACGUCGAUUGUGAAAAUCUGAGGCUCAACCUCAGACCUGCAGUCGA